CAACGCGUUGGGAGCUCUCCCAUAUGGUCGACCUGCAGGCGGCCGCGAAUUCACUAGUGAUUAGAGUUUGAUCAUGGCUCAGAAUGAACGCUGGCGGCAGGCCUAACACAUGCAAGUCGAACGGAGUUAUAUUGUAGCUUGCUAUGGUAUAACUUAGUGGCAGACGGGUGAGUAAUGUAUAGGAAUCUACCUAGUAGUACGGAAUAAUUGUUGGAAACGGCAACUAAUACCGUAUACCACCCUACGGGGGAAAAAUUUAUUGCUAUUAGAUGAGCCUAUAUUAGAUUAGCUAGUUGGUGGAGUAAUAGCCUACCAAGGCAAUGAUCUAUAGCUGAUCUGAGAGGAUGAUCAGCCACACUGGAACUGAGAUACGGUCCAGACUCCUACGGGAGGCAGCAGUGGGGAAUAUUGGACAAUGGGCGAAAGCCUGAUCCAGCCAUGCCGCAUGAGUGAAGAAGGCCUUUGGGUUGUAAAGCUCUUUUAGUGAGGAAGAUAAUGACGGUACUCACAGAAGAAGUCCUGGCUAACUCCGUGCCAGCAGCCGCGGUAAUACGGAGAGGGCUAGUGUUAUUCGGAAUUAUUGGGCGUAAAGGGCGCGUAGGCUGGUUAGUAAGUUAAAAGUGAAAUCCCGAGGCUUAACCUUGGAACUGCUUUUAAAACUGCUAGUCUAGAGAUUGAAAGAGGAUAGAGGAAUUCCUAGUGUAGAGGUGAAAUUCGUAAAUAUUAGGAGGAACACCAGUGGCGAAGGCGUCUAUCUGGUUCAAAUCUGACGCUGAGGCGCGAAGGCGUGGGGAGCAAACAGGAUUAGAUACCCUGGUAGUCCACGCUGUAAACGAUGAAUGUUAAAUAUGGGAAGUUUACUUUCUGUAUUACAGCUAACGCGUUAAACAUUCCGCCUGGGGACUACGGUCGCAGGAUUAAAACUCAAAGGAAUUGACG
This 939-nucleotide ribosomal RNA is filed under the name uncultured Wolbachia sp. RNAcentral's name for it is "bacterial SSU rRNA". It matches the Rfam family "Bacterial small subunit ribosomal RNA", at positions 1 to 915 of the family's 1533-position model. The record is from RNAcentral. Lineage: Bacteria; Pseudomonadati; Pseudomonadota; Alphaproteobacteria; Rickettsiales; Anaplasmataceae.